UACGUAGGUCCCGAGCGUUGUCCGGAUUUAUUGGGCGUAAAGCGAGCGCAGGUGGUUUAAUAAGGCUGAUGUAAAAGGCAGUGGCUCAACCAUUGUGUGCAUUGGAAACUGUUAGACUUGAGUGCAGUAGAGGAGAGUGGAAUUCCAUGUGUAGCGGUGAAAUGCGUAGAUAUAUGGAGGAACACCGGUGGCGAAAGCGGCUCUCUGGACUGUCACUGACACUGAGGCUCGAAAGCGUGGGUAGCAAACAGG
Molecule: ribosomal RNA, 252 nt
Filed under: uncultured microorganism
Description: partial 16S ribosomal RNA
Rfam family: Bacterial small subunit ribosomal RNA
Source: RNAcentral